This 253-nucleotide ribosomal RNA is filed under the name uncultured bacterium. RNAcentral describes it as "partial 16S ribosomal RNA". It matches the Rfam family "Bacterial small subunit ribosomal RNA", at positions 524 to 776 of the family's 1533-position model. The record is from RNAcentral.
UACAGAGGGUGCAAGCGUUGUUCGGAAUUAUUGGGCGUAAAGGGCGCGUAGGCGGUUCGGCAAGUCUCUAGUGAAAUCUCUGGGCUCAACUCAGAGUCUGCUGGGGAAACUGCCGGGCUUGAGUGUGGGAGAGGAGAGUGGAAUUCCUGGUGUAGCGGUGAAAUGCGCAGAUAUCAGGAAGAACACCCGUGGCUAAGGCGGCUCUCUAGUACGGUACUGACGCUGAGACGCGAAAGCGUGGGGAGCGAACAGG